AAAAUGCGAUAAGUAAUGUGAAUUGCAGAAUUCAGUGAAUCAUCGAAUCUUUGAACGCACAUUGCGCCCGCCAGUACUCUGGCGGGCAUGCCUGUUCGAGCGUCAUUUCAACCCUCAAGCCCCCGGGUUUGGUGUUGGGGAUCGGGCUGCGGUUCUACCGCGUCCCGGCCCCGAAAUCUAGUGGCGGUCUCGCUGCAGCCUCCAUUGCGUAGUAGCUAACACCUCGCAACUGGAACGCGGCGCGGCCAAGCCGUUAAACCCCCAACUUCUGAAUGUUGACCUCGGAUCAGGUAGGAAUACCCGCUGAACUUAAGC
Molecule: unclassified non-coding RNA, 315 nt
Filed under: plant metagenome
Description: partial contains 5.8S ribosomal RNA, internal transcribed spacer 2, and large subunit ribosomal RNA
Rfam family: 5.8S ribosomal RNA (bases 1-105)
Source: RNAcentral